RNAcentral lists this non-coding RNA (29 nucleotides) under Cricetulus griseus (Chinese hamster). Lineage: Eukaryota; Metazoa; Chordata; Mammalia; Rodentia; Cricetidae. The record is from RNAcentral.
CCGAAGGGAGAAUGCGUGUGUCUGGACAG